GAAAAAUAAACAUAUUUCAAAUAUGAAAUCAUUCUUGUGUGGACAAAAAUAGAAAACAAACAAUAAUAGAAAUUAUUCUGAACCAAAAUGACAAAAAUGGCAUAAAAACACAUCGAUUCUUAUAUGGGUCAUUUUGGACCCACUUAUUGAAGAGAGUAGGAUCCAAUCACUGGAGCAACUGAGGCUUAAAGAGAUAAUAACUGUAGCAAAAUGCUGCUCAGUGUGAAAAGUUUAACCACCCAACCUCAGAAUCUCGGUGCAUUCAACUGUCCUGUUUUUCCUCCUUUCUCUGCCUCCUGAGUGAGUUUCUCUGUCUUUGCCUGCGAGUGAGCUGAGAAAACUGUCAAAGAUGUGUUCCCAUGACAACCUCCAUCCAGCAUUAGAAACAUGAAGUGUAAGGGAAUAUCUAAAUGUGUGUGAAAGGGAAAGAGAGCGAGAGGGAGAGAGGGCGAAAUAGACACAUGAUGUGGGUGGAAGCAGUUUCAAAGGCAGCACAGAGAAACUUGGACAUAAAUAUAAAGUACAUGUGGUUGAAAGGUAUCCAUUAAUGUGACCGGUGUAGUUUCUAUGACCAUAUAUGCACACAGAAAUACACCACCGUUUAAAAGUUGUCCUUAUUUAUCCUUAUAAUGUCCUUAUUUUUGAAAGAAAAAAAUUUUUUUUCAAUGAAGAUCACAUUAAAUGAAUGAUAAAUCCAGUGUAGACAUUGUUAAUGUGGUAAAUGACUAUUGUAGCUGGAAACAGCUGAUUUUUAAUGGAAUAUCUCCAUAGAGGUACAGAGGAACAUUUCCAGCAACCAUCACUCCUGUGUUCUAAUGCUACAUUGUGUUAGCUAAUGGUGUUGAAAGGCUCAUUGAUGAUAAGAAAACCCUUGUGCAGUUAUCUUAGCACAUGGAUAAAAGUGGGAGUUUUCAUGGAAAACAUGAAAUUGCCUGGGUGACCACAAACUUUUGAACAACAGUGUAUAAACACACCAUUUUAAUCUCUUUAAACAUUACAGAAAGUGACCCCCUUUAACAUUUUUUUCCAAUCUUUCCAAACAUCCCACGAGGGCACCUUCAUUUUAUAUCCUCACAUGAAUUUUGAAGCAAAAUAAAGUUGUAUCCCAGGCUGAGGUCCCAGAGCACAGAUUACACUGGGUGUGUUUGUGUUUGUUAUUGGCGUCACGUCCAGCUCAGCAAUGAAGGACUUCCACAAGUGUUGCCACUAGAAAACGUUGCAAGAGCUCAAAAUGAUGGACCUCAUUUACAUUUGGCACAGUGGUAAUUUACUCCUGCCUCGCUGAGAUUAUCAUCUUGGGUUCAGUUAUGAAAACAGCUAUAAAUAGGUCAUGUUUCAGGAGAAAGCCUCUGUCUCCUGUAAAAUUCAUGUUGUGACAUGUUUCUGGCACCUGUCAGCUCAUGGCUCAAGGUGUCAUUCUGCACUUCUCACCUUCAGCGCUGAUAGAAAUUGUUCACACCCCAUGGAAGUUUUCAGCGUUUCACCAUUGAAUCACAGUCGAUUUAAUGUGGCUUGAAAUGAAAACAUAUUCCUACAAUGAAAUGUCAUUUUACCAAAAAUCCAAAAUGUCACCACUUUAAGUCAGUAGUCAGUAGAUGUAUGGAAGCAAAUCAGACUCAUCAGAUUCUGAAUUUUAAAAGCUGCUGAAUUUCUUACUUUGAAUUUUUUUGCAUCAAAAUUUCGUAUGUGAAUUUUUUAUGCCUGAAUUUAGCUCAUCAAAAUUCUAAAAACCAGUUAAAAAUUCAAUGUCUUCAAAAUUCGCCAUCAAAAAAAUUCAAUGUCUUCAAAAUUCACCAUCAAAAAAAUUUGAUGUGUUCAAAAUUCACCAUCAAAAAAUUCAAUGUUCAAAAUUCGCCAUCAAAAAAUUCAGUGUUCAAAAUUCGCCAUCAAAAAAUUCAAUGUUAAAAAAUUUGCUGUCAAAAAAUUCGCUGUUCACAUCUGGGGGACUCAGGCGUAAACAAUCGAUCCUGGCCAAAAUCGAACCAACGCCCAGCCAAUCACGUGGCGCUCCUCCGGUCAUGUGACGUAGACGGUUCACCUCACAAGACCGGGGUCAACCACGGCUACCAGCAUGAACGACGGCGCUUCAAUGCACAAUGAGGGACGUCUGCAGAGACUGAGAAAGAGUCUCACCACAUCCUGACAUGAGGAAAAAGACUUUAUUGAAGACUACAAUGAGAAAAACUAUCAGACAGCAGACGGCUGCAUUCAAGGCUACAGGAGGAGUCCUAAGAGGACGAGCCGGUCCACCUGAUGGCGGCCAGUCGCUGUGGUUCAAAGCCAACACCGACUACGUGGACUUCUACUGGACCACAUGGAGGCCUUCAAACUGGACCAACAAGUUCACAGACUCCCCGACUCGUGGGUCUGAGGACGCCGCUGAGCCUCGGUCCAGCCGGCCUCCUGUCUGUGGGUGUUUGAGUGCUGAGAGGUUUGUGGAUGCAUGUGAAUGUUCUGUGUUGAAACAGCAGCUUUGGACUCAGUAACGCCGGGAAAAACCAAGAGCUCCUUUAUUUGUGACUUCCACUAAAAAACUGAAGAAAAUAAGUUUGACAGGGUUCUGACUGAUAACAGAUUAUUAAAUAAUGAAAGUAAUCGUUUAAAUAUUCCUUUAAACAAACCUUUUAGGUCUACAUUUCCUUUACACUGACUUCUUGGUAUUUUGGGUGGAAUAUACCAUUAAGCCCAAUGUUCAAGGGUUCUUCUGGGAAUAUACCAUUAAACCAACCUUUUAGGAAAAUGUUCCAAGAUGUUGGGUAG
Long non-coding RNA from Amphiprion ocellaris (clown anemonefish), 2760 nucleotides. The record is from Ensembl. NCBI's taxonomy places the organism in Eukaryota, Metazoa, Chordata, Actinopteri, Pomacentridae.